AAUCUGGCUAGAUUAAGACAGGUAAUUAUCUGUUUGCCAACCAUAGAAAGGAAGAAUAGGAGGAUUAGAAACUGCUUGGUUUUAUCAAAUUGAUAAAUAAGUUAUUUCCAGCUAACUAAUUUUGGCAAUACAAUAGGAAAAUAUAAUAGCAUGAAAUAGGAGUUUGGAAGUUUAAAAUUUUGGUUUGUGUUAAUUUGUAGUGUUUGGCACUAACAGCUGAUCACAAAUAGUUCAAAAUGAAUCUCCAAUUAUAAUAUAUGCACUGGUUCUGCAAUUGAGUAUAAUUAUACUAAAAUAUUAAAUCAAGAUAGACUGAUAACUUAAUUAAAUAAGGGCUGUACUGUGCAAUCAUGAUCAAUUGGUGAAAGAUUUAGAUCCAGUGUGUUGUAGUAGAAGGGUAUUUGUGUAUUGGAUUCCACUAGUGCUUUAUUUUUCCCCAGUCUAGUAGCAACUUCCUUAUGCAAUAAGCACAUGAUUCUAUCAAUUUUUUUCAAUCAAUAAGAGAUUAUGUUCUGUCAUUCGGCUAUAACAACUUUUAGUGUUGAUCUCUCUCAUGAACACUCAAAAUCAGAUAAUCUGUGGAUGACAUACAGAUCAAAACAAGCGUGCGCGCGCACGCACACACGCACACAGAUGCAUGUAUUUUGUUACUAAUUGACAAGUGAUUUCAUUUCAUCAGAUUUCAGGUGCAAGAGUUGAAGUGCGUGAUCCAUCUCCCAGCAAGAGUGAGAGAAUGGUGGUUAUAUCAGGGACACCAGAUCAAACCAGGGCAGCACAGAGCUUGCUUCAAGCCUUCAUUUUAGCCGACCAGUAAUUUACAUACUACAAGUCUAACCACAUAUAGUUUGCAGCAGAUUGUUGGACGUAGAUGUCAUUUGUGUAUAUUUCCACUCGAAGCAUGGACAUAUCUUACGUGUGUGGUUCAGUGUCAACGUGGAAAUGCUAACUUUUAUGUAGGGUGAGGUUUCCCAGCAAGAUCAAAGCCGUAGAAGAGGUCUUUCUAACAGGUUCUUGAGAUUUGGAAGUGCAGAGUACAAUUACACUGGAUUUGUUGAUAUUUAAUUGCAAAACUUGACAUGAUAUCAUAUGCUUUUAAUAUCUUGUUAGAUCAAUCGUUUACCUUUCCCUUUUAUUUUUAUUUUUUUAAUAAGAAGAGG
This 1157-nucleotide unclassified non-coding RNA is filed under the name Hevea brasiliensis (rubber tree). The record is from RNAcentral. Lineage: Eukaryota; Viridiplantae; Streptophyta; Magnoliopsida; Malpighiales; Euphorbiaceae.